RNAcentral lists this small RNA (1048 nucleotides) under Malus domestica (apple). Its description in RNAcentral is "sRNA MD12G0112100". Lineage: Eukaryota; Viridiplantae; Streptophyta; Magnoliopsida; Rosales; Rosaceae. The record is from RNAcentral.
GUAAAAAUUAGGCGCUUUUUUUUUAUUUUCCCAAAUUUGGUCUCACUCGGUCUCUCACAUCUCGCGUAGUAGCCUGACCCCUGAGCCCUGAGCCUUGAGCCUCCUCUCUCUCGGUCUUCAAUCACUCUCUCAAACUCUCUGUCUCUCAUUCCCAACACCAUCUCUCGAUUUCUCUCUAUUUCUGCCUUCAUCCAAAAAAAUUUCACACACCUCCAUCUCGGCCAAGCUCUCGCCGCCGUCAAUUUCGAUGUCCUCUUCAGGUUCGCACAUUCAAUCUCAUUAUUUGUAUAUUUAAUUUAAUGAUUGUGUAAUUAAUUGUGCUGUAGAGGGAAGAAAUCAGAUCCAUGGUUGAAAAGGAUGGAUCUGCAAAGGGAAUUGUGUUCAGCCAGUUCACAUCGUUCUUGGAUAUUUCAAGGCAUAUUUGCGUCGUUAGCGGCGCUGAUGUUCAAUUGCAUAAAAAAGGUGGACAAGAAUGCGAGUGGAGUUGAGUUGCUGCUUGAGUAUCAUUAAAGUAAGAAAAUAGCGGUGCUAUAGCGGAAGAAGAGGGAAGAGAAACAGUUGAGUCAUCCUCUUUCUGUUUGAGUUUGUCAAAUGGUGCACAAGGACUGGGAGAAACUUUUGGGAGAGUGACAAUUGAAGCCAUGGCAUUCGGUCUUCCGGUGCUUGGAACCGAAGCCGGAGGCACAAAAGAGAUUGUUGAACACAAUGUAACAGGUCUGCUUCAUCCUGUGGGGCAUGACGGAACUCGUGGCCUCGCCGAGAAUCACCGAUUUUUGCUUAAAAUGUGUGCAAUCAAAGCAUUCCAUCUAACCAUAGAUGUUGAAGAACUAUAGCUGUUUACUUUCCCCAGGCACUAAAUUCUAAAUGUUGUUCUCUCUUUCAGUUUUAUUUUAUUAUUAUUUUUAUAUUCAUGUUAUUUCUUUUUUGUUUGCACAUCAGAGGUCGAUGCAUUGAAGAACCAUAGAUGUCGAACACAGCAGAGGUCGAUGCAUUGAAGGCGGAAGUGACGCACCUGAGGGUCGAGGGCGAGCAGAUGAAGGCGCAGCUG